Phragmites australis (common reed) is the source of this 228-nucleotide small nucleolar RNA. RefSeq annotates it as small nucleolar RNA SNORA53. The transcript has a single exon. NCBI's taxonomy places the organism in Eukaryota, Viridiplantae, Streptophyta, Magnoliopsida, Poales, Poaceae. The record is from RefSeq and is a predicted model, not a curated record.
AACAUAUUUAAAAUAAUUUUCACAGGCAAUUCAUUGAGUCAACCGCCUGUGAAAAUGAUUUCUACACGCGGUUGACUUAAGAAACUGCCUGUAGAAAUACAUUUUCACAGAUAGUUUCUUAAGCCAACCGCAUGUGAAAAUAAUUUCUACAGGUGGUUGGCUUAAGAAACCGCCUAAAAAAAUGAUUUCCACAAGUGGUUUCUUAAGUCAACCACCUAUAGAAAUUCU